Molecule: ribosomal RNA, 253 nt
Filed under: uncultured bacterium
Lineage: Bacteria
Description: partial 16S ribosomal RNA
Rfam family: Bacterial small subunit ribosomal RNA
Source: RNAcentral
UACGUAGGGUGCAAGCGUUGUCCGGCAUUAUUGGGCGUAAAGAGCUCGUAGGCGGUCUGUCGCGUCGGCUGUGAAAACCCGGAGCUCAACUCCGGGCCUGCAGUCGAUACGGGCAGACUGGAGUUCGGCAGGGGAGACUGGAAUUCCUGGUGUAGCGGUGAAAUGCGCAGAUAUCAGGAGGAACACCGGUGGCGAAGGCGGGUCUCUGGGCCGAUACUGACGCUGAGGAGCGAAAGCGUGGGGAGCGAACAGG